This 1312-nucleotide long non-coding RNA is filed under the name Medicago truncatula (barrel medic). RNAcentral's name for it is "long non-coding RNA (MTRU_LNC000523)". The record is from RNAcentral. Lineage: Eukaryota; Viridiplantae; Streptophyta; Magnoliopsida; Fabales; Fabaceae.
UGUAAUACUUGACUAUUGAAGCAAUGUAAUAAUUCAUGAAGAAACUCUUUUAAGAGUUGUUUCUCUUCACCAAAAGACAUACUUUCUCUAUAAUCAAAGGACAUAAGUUUCUCUAUAAUACUAGCGUGUCAGAAUUUUGUUAAAAAUAAUAUUAAAUCAUUCUUUCUUUUAUUUAGUGCACGAAGAAAAUUGACAUAACUUUAUUUUGUAAACUAUCAUUGAUCGAUACACUUGAUGUCAAUCGAACCUAGAGGUUGAUGAGUCUCACACACGCUUUGAAAUUAAUGUGCACACUUUAUCAUGUUCAUCUUCAUCUUCUUAUUGAUCAAGUUAUUGCAGCAGACCCCGACACCGAUUCCAACGCAUCAUGAAAUAAAGACACCAAAAGAAUAAUACAACGUAUUGUGUUGAGUCUUGUUAUCAGAUUAUUGAAGUACAAACAUGUUAGAAAUAUUGCUAUUAUUUGAGUUUUAAUUGAUACAAGAUUGGUAUGAAUUAAUGCUCUUCGAGCGAUGCACUUUCUUAGAGAUUGAGUCAUUCUUAUAUGAAAAGAGAAAAAUAUUCACAUGCAAAUAUUUUUGUGAGUUGGUAUUCUUUUUCUCGUAUAAUAUUUUUGUGAGUUACUUAUACAAAUUUGUAUAUGAAAUUCGCAUCGUAAUUUAAGAAAUGUAACUCAUUUAUGUUGGUUUGAUGGUGUUGAAUUAAGAUCUUGAAGUGUGGUUUCAGAUUCCAUUCUCUGAUGUCAAUUUGGAUUGAUUAAUUUCGUUUUUUAAGUAUUUUUAUUCGUUGCAAAGAGGGUUAGUUGUAUUGUGAAUGAAAGUUAAUUAAAGAUGAGAUUAUUGCAAAGAGAUUUAUGUAUCAAAAUGGGACAAUUUUAUGAGAUUUUGUCAUGGUGAUAGUGUGUUUGAUUUUUAUCUAUAUAAUUCCCAUGACAAUAUAUACAUAUCCUAAUGCAUUCAUGUUGUCUCAAUAGUAAAUUUUCCAAGAGCAAUCGUUUAGCUUUAAUUAAACUUUAGCAAGAUGAUAAGUUCAUCAUUUCACAUGUCUUGAUCGUCAUAUAGCAACUUAUCCAUUUGCUUCUUUCUGUAUUUUGGGAGUUUAAUUUCUACUCUUCACGUUGUUUCCUAGUAGUUUCUCCCAUUGGGAUUAAGCUCAUUUUAUGUUAAAUAAAAUGACUCAAUAAUGCCGUUAAUGAGAAAUCAAUAAAUAAUUACCUUAUUUAAUCUAAUCACAUAUAUGCUUUAUAUGGUGAUGAUGAUAAUAAUAGUAAGAAUGUGAAAUACUUGUGAGGUCAUGGUUGUAGUGGUCUAAG